Molecule: transfer RNA, 75 nt
Filed under: Penicillium nalgiovense
Lineage: Eukaryota; Fungi; Ascomycota; Eurotiomycetes; Eurotiales; Aspergillaceae
Description: tRNA-Thr
Rfam family: tRNA
About the family: Transfer RNA (tRNA) molecules are approximately 80 nucleotides in length. Their secondary structure includes four short double-helical elements and three loops (D, anti-codon, and T loops).
Source: RNAcentral
GGCUCGCAUGGCUCAGUGGUAAAGCGCAUCACUCGUAAUGAUGAGAUCCCCGGUUCAAUCCCGGGUGUGAGCAUG